Molecule: long non-coding RNA, 793 nt
Organism: Parus major (Great Tit)
Lineage: Eukaryota; Metazoa; Chordata; Aves; Passeriformes; Paridae
Exons: 2
Source: RefSeq, a predicted model, not a curated record
UCUCUCCCCCUUCAUGUUUCUUAUUUACUUCAAUUUCUUUUAAUCAAAUCAGCCACAAAAAUGCAGUUGUGGUCUCACAUGGCAAAGCAGAAAAUUUCCCCAACAGUAAUAGGACAAAGAAAGUAAUUGUGUGGAAAACAAGAAUGCAGAACACAGAGAAAAGAGGAGUGUAGUGGGGGAAAUAGAUUAUAGAAGAGGUGGUAGGUUAAAUUGAAAGAACAAAGGUAGAUGUGAACAAAAAUGCAACAGAAAAAUCAAAGAGAAAAAAUUGAGGAAAGAUAUAGUUACUGUUUAAUUUAUGGGAGUUACAAGCAUUUUUGAGAGCAAUCCUUUUCUGAAAGCAGCCAUUUUGUAGAAGAAAAAAAAAUAGGUGAGGGGAGAGGGUGUCACAGUGGCUGCAGAUCUUUGCCUGCUAAAUCCAGAGAGAAAUGGUGAAAGAGGAAGACAGGAAGAGCAACAGGAAGGAGUGGGAGAAAACUAAAACAUUGAAACUACUUCUGAGCCGGGGAAGUGAACACACGAAAUCAGAAACCCACCAGAACUCACUUGGGGCUUGGAAAGCACAAGAGGAGAGUGACUAAACAACAAAUUAAGACACAAUUCAAGUGAAGAGUGGAAUGGCCCCUACUUAGAGAAUGGAAAGCACAUGUGCAGAGGGGAAGCAGCACUACAUGGGUUUGGGAGCUGCAGCAGCCAGGCACAUCAGUAACUUUGGGCUGCUGCAGAAAGCACAGAAACCUCUGUCAGCACAGCUUGUCUAUUCAAAGUCAGAUAAAAUCCUUGAACAAUGUGA